Molecule: ribosomal RNA, 465 nt
Filed under: Vreelandella stevensii
Lineage: Bacteria; Pseudomonadati; Pseudomonadota; Gammaproteobacteria; Oceanospirillales; Halomonadaceae
Description: partial 16S ribosomal RNA
Rfam family: Bacterial small subunit ribosomal RNA
Source: RNAcentral
CCUACGGGGGGCAGCAGUGGGGAAUAUUGGACAAUGGGCGAAAGCCUGAUCCAGCCAUGCCGCGUGUGUGAAGAAGGCCUUCGGGUUGUAAAGCACUUUCAGUGGGGAAGAAAGCCUUGGGGCUAAUACCCUCGAGGAAGGACAUCACCCACAGAAGAAGCACCGGCUAACUCCGUGCCAGCAGCCGCGGUAAUACGGAGGGUGCGAGCGUUAAUCGGAAUUACUGGGCGUAAAGCGCGCGUAGGCGGUCUGAUAAGCCGGUUGUGAAAGCCCCGGGCUCAACCUGGGAACGGCAUCCGGAACUGUCAGGCUAGAGUGCAGGAGAGGAAGGUAGAAUUCCCGGUGUAGCGGUGAAAUGCGUAGAGAUCGGGAGGAAUACCAGUGGCGAAGGCGGUCUUCUGGACUGACACUGACGCUGAGGUGCGAAAGCGUGGGUAGCAAACAGGAUUAGAUACCCUAGUAGUC